GCCGGGCAUGGUGGCGCGUGCCUGUAAUCCCAGCUACUCAGGAGGCUGAGGCAGAAGAAUCGCUUGAACCCGGGAGGUGGAGGUUGCAGUGAGCCGAGAUCUUGCCACUGCACUACAGCCUGGGUGACAGAGCGAGACUCUGUCUGGG
This 148-nucleotide small RNA is filed under the name Macaca fascicularis (crab-eating macaque). Its description in RNAcentral is "Metazoan signal recognition particle RNA (ENSMFAG00000058421.1)". Lineage: Eukaryota; Metazoa; Chordata; Mammalia; Primates; Cercopithecidae. The record is from Rfam by way of RNAcentral.